UGGGGAAUAUUGGACAAUGGGCGCAAGCCUGAUCCAGCCAUGCCGCGUGAGUGAUGAAGGCCCUAGGGUUGUAAAGCUCUUUCACCGGUGAAGAUAAUGACGGUAACCGGAGAAGAAGCCCCGGCUAACUUCGUGCCAGCAGCCGCGGUAAUACGAAGGGGGCUAGCGUUGUUCGGAUUUACUGGGCGUAAAGCGCACGUAGGCGGACUAUUAAGUCAGGGGUGAAAUCCCGGGGCUCAACCCCGGAACUGCCUUUGAUACUGGUAGUCUUGAGUUCGAUGGAGGUUAGUGGAAUUCCAAGUGUAGAGGUGAAAUUCGUAGAUAUUCGGUGGAACACCAAUGGCGAAGGCGGCUCACUGGCUCGAUACUGACGCUGAGGUGCGAAAGCGUGGGGAGCAAACAGG
RNAcentral lists this ribosomal RNA (404 nucleotides) under Actinomycetes bacterium. RNAcentral describes it as "Actinobacteria bacterium partial 16S ribosomal RNA". It matches the Rfam family "Bacterial small subunit ribosomal RNA", at positions 355 to 776 of the family's 1533-position model. The record is from RNAcentral. Lineage: Bacteria; Bacillati; Actinomycetota; Actinomycetes.